AUACGUAGGUGGCAAGCGUUAUCCGGAAUUAUUGGGCGUAAAGAGUGAGCAGGCGGUUAAUUAAGUCUGAGGUUAAAGCGUGGGGCUCAACCCCAUAAAACCUUGGAAACUGAUUUACUAGAGUACGGGAGAAGUGAAGGGAAAUCCAUGUGUAGCGGUGAAAUGCGUAGAUAUAUGGAAGAACACCAGUGGCGAAGGCGCUUCACUAGCCCGAAACUGACGCUCAGUCACGAAAGCGUGGGUAGCAAAUAGGAUUAGAUACCCUAGUAGUCCACGCUGUAAACGAUGACAACUAAAUAUUGCCGCGAGGCAGUGUUGAAGCUAACGCAUUAAGUUGUCCGCCUGGGGAGUACGGUCGCAAGACUGAAACUUAAAGGAAUUGACGGGG
Molecule: ribosomal RNA, 388 nt
Filed under: uncultured bacterium
Lineage: Bacteria
Description: partial 16S ribosomal RNA
Rfam family: Bacterial small subunit ribosomal RNA
Source: RNAcentral